UUUUGUGCCCUUUAUUUUCUACGUAUUAAUCAUUAAUUAUCAUAGUAUAUAUUGUACUAGUUAUUAAAUCAAAAACCUAAAAAAUAAUUAAAUAUGGAAGAGGAAUUUCAACCAUCUAAUGGCCCCAACAACAAACACAAUAUACCCACAAAAUGGCCCAGAUCCGACUCACAGGUGCAGCCCAUUUCAAAUCAAAAUCAGCCUAUCUUACCUCUCAUCUGGCAGCCCAAUUAAAAAAAAAAAAAAGAUCAGCCCACAACCAACUCCACCCGUCCAGCCCACUAUUUCCCCCAACCCGGUCUAUUUCCAUUCCAUCAGCAAACCUAAAACCUAAUAAACAAACAUACAUCACAGCCGCACACCCCCCAAGCGCCUCUCUCAUCUCUUCACUCCCAUCCUCCAUUUUUAGCCAAAAAUCUGUCUCUCUUUUGCCAUACACAGUCCAUGUCCAUCCCGUUUCCACACCAAAUUGUCGCGACGCCUGAGCUGCCUGUCGUUGACAGAAAGUCAUUUCCAUUUCUCACUUCAAAACGCAACAAAUUCACAAAGAACAGAGAAAAUCGAACCAUUUUCGGUAACCCCGAAUCAAAUCAUGUGAAUGGCUUCAACGUUCGGAUUAGUAGGGUUUGACUUAAUUUCGAAUUUUAGAUUUCAACAUCCCGCCGAAAAAACCCUACAAAUCAUACUAUAUAUACAUCUCUAAGUUCGUUUUGAAAAGGGGACGGAGUUUUUUUUACAACACUCAACAUUUUUCUAUUUUUUCCUUAUUACUCUAAAUCUGAAUUUGUUCGAAUUCUGUCCUGUUAGAGUUCUGAUCGUGACUCGAAGCCCCACUUUACUGCGCCAUCGACAGCCAAAGAGUUUCACUUUGGAACUCGACGUCACCCCGCAAAGGCCUGAAAUGGGCAUCUACAUCCUCUUUUACGCCUCUUGGUCCCUCGAAAUGCUUCUGAACAGAAGGACAGAGAGCGGGCAGUCAACUGGCGAAUCAUUGAAAUUUCGUUUUUCCACCGAAGCCAAAUAUGGCUUUACUCCAUUCCCUCUCAUUCGCUGGUGUUGCUUGUUGCUAGAAUGUGUGCUAUAUUUUGUGGUGUGAUUAUUAAUUGUCGAUGAUUCUACUUUGCUUAAUUAUGUGAAUCUUUUCCCCCAAGUUGAUAUUAGAA
Long non-coding RNA from Lycium barbarum (goji berry), 1163 nucleotides. RefSeq lists it as uncharacterized. The transcript has 2 exons. The record is from RefSeq and is a predicted model, not a curated record. NCBI's taxonomy places the organism in Eukaryota, Viridiplantae, Streptophyta, Magnoliopsida, Solanales, Solanaceae.